RNAcentral lists this ribosomal RNA (486 nucleotides) under uncultured bacterium. RNAcentral describes it as "bacterial SSU rRNA". It matches the Rfam family "Bacterial small subunit ribosomal RNA", at positions 33 to 507 of the family's 1533-position model. The record is from RNAcentral.
GACGACGCUGGCGGCGUGGAUUAGGCAUGCAAGUCGAACGGUAUCAUCCUUUCGGGGGUGAGAGAGUGGCGAACUGGUGAGUAACACGUAGGUUAUCUACCCUCAAGACGGGGACAACCCAGGGAAACUUGGGCUAAUACCGGAUGUGAGCAACUUUUAGUUGUUUGAAAGGUGGCGUAAGCUGUCGCUUGGGGAUGAGCCUGCGUCCUAUUAGUUAGUUGGUGAGGUAACGGCUCACCUAGGCAAUGAUAGGUAGGCGGCCUUAACGGGUGGUCGCCCACACUGGGAUUGAGAUACGGCCCAGACUCCUACGGGAGGCAGCAGUCGAGAAUAGUCUACAAUGGUCGGAAGACUGAUAGUGCGACGCCGCGUGAACGAUGAAUCCCUUCGGGGUGUAAAGUUCUUUUAUAUGUGAGCAGUGCUUCUUAUAUUAACAGUAUGGGGAGAGAGAUAUUAGCAUAUGAAUAAGCGACGGCUAACUCCGUG